GACGAACCGUGCGAACGUUGUUCGGAAUCACUGGGCGUAAAGCGCACGUAGGCGGGCGUGUCAGUCAGGGGUGAAAUCCCGGAGCUCAACUCCGGAACUGCCUCUGAUACAGCACGUCUUGAGUUCGAGAGAGGUGGGUGGAAUUCCUAGUGUAGAGGUGAAAUUCGUAGAUAUUAGGAAGAACACCGGUGGCGAAGGCGGCCCACUGGCUCGAUACUGACGCUGAGGUGCGAAAGCGUGGGGAGCAAACAGG
This 253-nucleotide ribosomal RNA is filed under the name uncultured bacterium. RNAcentral describes it as "partial 16S ribosomal RNA". It matches the Rfam family "Bacterial small subunit ribosomal RNA", at positions 524 to 776 of the family's 1533-position model. The record is from RNAcentral.